This 1343-nucleotide ribosomal RNA is filed under the name uncultured bacterium. RNAcentral describes it as "16S ribosomal RNA". It matches the Rfam family "Bacterial small subunit ribosomal RNA", at positions 28 to 1378 of the family's 1533-position model. The record is from RNAcentral.
GACGAACGCUGGCGGCGUGCUUAACACAUGCAAGUCGAACGGAAAGGCCCUGCUUUUGUGGGGUGCUCGAGUGGCGAACGGGUGAGUAACACGUGAGUAACCUGCCCUUGACUUUGGGAUAACUUCAGGAAACUGGGGCUAAUACCGGAUAGGAGCUCCUGCUGCAUGGUGGGGGUUGGAAAGUUUCGGCGGUUGGGGAUGGACUCGCGGCUUAUCAGCUUGUUGGUGGGGUAGUGGCUUACCAAGGCUUUGACGGGUAGCCGGCCUGAGAGGGUGACCGGCCACAUUGGGACUGAGAUACGGCCCAGACUCCUACGGGAGGCAGCAGUGGGGAAUAUUGCACAAUGGGCGGAAGCCUGAUGCAGCAACGCCGCGUGCGGGAUGACGGCCUUCGGGUUGUAAACCGCUUUCGCCUGUGACGAAGCGUGAGUGACGGUAAUGGGUAAAGAAGCACCGGCUAACUACGUGCCAGCAGCCGCGGUGAUACGUAGGGUGCGAGCGUUGUCCGGAUUUAUUGGGCGUAAAGGGCUCGUAGGUGGUUGAUCGCGUCGGAAGUGUAAUCUUGGGGCUUAACCCUGAGCGUGCUUUCGAUACGGGUUGACUUGAGGAAGGUAGGGGAGUAUGGAAUCCCUGGUGGAGCGGUGGAAUGCGCAGAUAUCAGGAGGAACACCAGUGGCGAAGGCGGUUCUCUGGGCCUUUCCUGACGCUGAGGAGCGAAAGCGUGGGGAGCGAACAGGCUUAGAUACCCUGGUAGUCCACGCUGUAAACGGUGGGUACUAGGUGUGGGGUCCAUUCCACGGGUUCCGUGCCGUAGCUAACGCUUUAAGUACCCCGCCUGGGGAGUACGGCCGCAAGGCUAAAACUCAAAGGAAUUGACGGGGCCCCGCACAAGCGGCGGAGCAUGCGGAUUAAUUCGAUGCAACGCGUAGAACCUUACCUGGGUUUGACAUGGAUCGGGAGUGCUCAGAGAUGGGUGUGCCUCUUUUGGGGUCGGUUCACAGGUGGUGCAUGGCUGUCGUCAGCUCGUGUCGUGAGAUGUUGGGUUAAGUCCCGCAACGAGCGCAACCCUUGUUCACUGUUGCCAGCACGUUAUGGUGGGGACUCAGUGGAGACCGCCGGGGUCAACUCGGAGGAAGGUGGGGAUGACGUCAAGUCAUCAUGCCCCUUAUGUCCAGGGCUUCACGCAUGCUACAAUGGCUGGUACAGAGAGUGGCGAGCCUGUGAGGGUGAGCGAAUCUCGGAAAGCCGGUCUCAGUUCGGAUUGGGGUCUGCAACUCGACCUCAUGAAGUCGGAGUCGCUAGUAAUCGCAGAUCAGCAACGCUGCGGUGAAUACGUUCCCGGG